This 406-nucleotide ribosomal RNA is filed under the name uncultured bacterium. RNAcentral's name for it is "partial 16S ribosomal RNA". It matches the Rfam family "Bacterial small subunit ribosomal RNA", at positions 30 to 526 of the family's 1533-position model. The record is from RNAcentral.
AUUGAACGCUGGCGGCAGGCCUAACACAUGCAAGUCGAACGAGUGGCGGACGGGUGAGUAAUGUCUGGGAAACUGCCUGAUGGAGGGGGAUAACUACUGGAAACGGUAGCUAAUACCGCAUACCAUCAGAUGUGCCCAGAGGGGAUUAGCUAGUUGUUGGGGUAACGGUUCACCAAGGCGACGAUCCCGAGCUGGUCUGAGAGGAUGACCGGCCACACUGGGACUGAGAUACGGUCCAGACUCCUACGAGAGGCAGCAGUGGGGAAUAUUACGCAAUGGGCGCAAGCCUGAUGAAGCGAUGCCGCGUGUAUGAAGAAGGCCUUCGGGUUGUAAAGUACUUUCAGCAGGGAGGCGUUACCCGCAGAAGAAGCACCGGCUAACUCCGUGCCAGCCGCCGCGGUAAUUC